CGCAACUCUACCGCUAACUCUGCUUGCUUGGGGACAUGGAUGUUUUAUCUCCGCAAUUAACAAGCCUGGAGGAGCUUCUGCCGACUGAGAGUUCUGCUGUGUUGUGGAGUUGCUAAUGCUAACAGUUAGCUUCUAAAAGCCAAGACAUUCUCUGCUGUUUCCUGGUCACUAAACCAACAACAGCCUUCCCCGUCACGAGUCAUGAUGGUGAGUGUGGAGAGCUCAGUCUUACCCGUUUGAUGGAUUUGUUGACCACGGAGCAUCGCUGUUGUCUGGCAGCUGUAACCUGAAACACAGGAACAAAAAUCGAGACCGCUCAGAGAAGAAAAGGUAAUCUCAUAGGACAAAAACCAGCUGAAAGCAAAGCUAUUGUUGGAGAAAAACAAGCGUGGGAGCCGAAGGAACACCGACAGUGAUAUGUGUGACACUCCCAGGCAGCAUAUCUGCUUCUCAUAUAUGAACUGUAGCAAAGAUCUGGAGUUUCACAGAACGGCUCCUGAACAUGAAGACACUUACUUAAAGUCUGUGAUGACGGGGUCCAGUUCUGGGCUGUUUAUGACCGACAAUCUGGAAUAGGGAACACAGACGAGUCUGAAAACCUGUAGGCUUAUUUUUUUAUUCUUUUUUCCUGUUGCAGUUCCUUUUGUUUCUGACUUUAAUAGAAUAAAUGACAGAAUGCACAACGCCAUCAUACCGGCUCGGGGAGUCCAUGCUGUCUUGUUCCUCCACUACACCCCUGUGAGGAGAUUAAUGAGAAAAGAUGAGAAAAUCACCUCAUGGCAUGAGAUAUGAGGGCUGAAACCCCUAAAAUAUCAGUUCUGUUCAUGUAUCAGGACUCAUAUCCAAAGAUAAAGUCACGAUUGUGUCCCCUAGGAGAGAUACUGAUUUUUUAUAUUAGAUGCUCAUUAACAAUCAAACCUGAAGAAAAAAAUGAAUCAAAGGUUCACUGGAUACAUGAGUGAAUGGGAAAAAGACACAUUUAGAUGAGAAAAAUCUAAUUCUCUCUGAUAUUUUUGUUUAUAAAUCAUAAGUUUUCUGACCAAAACCAACAUUUGACUCCAUUGUUGUUUGAAACAAGUUUUAAAAAUGCUUCAUUCUCUCAUUUUGGGAUUUUUAGAUUACUUUGGUAUGUAAUCAAAAGGUGUUGUAAGCAUGACUGUACCAGAUUAAUCUUAUGGAUAAAGCAUAUUAAAUAAAGUCAUGUUGUUUUGUAUGAUUUCCUCUCAUCCUAUAGACUACUUUCCAUUAGCUUUACCUCAGCAUUUGACUGUAAUCUGGACAAACAGCAUCACGACAGAAAUGCUGCCAAACAGGAUAUAAACUGGUUACACAUUUAAAGAGAGCACAUGCAGGAAUCAUAAUACCAAACACAAUUUAUGAGUUCCCUUUUGUUUUACAGCUAAAUAAAGUAGUUUACGAUGGAUUUCUUAUUUCUAUUUCUGACAGAAAGCUGGCUGCUCAGCCGCGGCACGAUAAUCUUAUCUCGUCUCUCUUUAGAUAAAAAGUCUGGCAGCUUUCAUCACAUGAUGAUUACCUUCAG
Molecule: non-coding RNA, 1540 nt
Organism: Nothobranchius furzeri (turquoise killifish)
Lineage: Eukaryota; Metazoa; Chordata; Actinopteri; Cyprinodontiformes; Nothobranchiidae
Source: RefSeq, a predicted model, not a curated record